RNAcentral lists this ribosomal RNA (247 nucleotides) under uncultured Actinomycetes bacterium. RNAcentral's name for it is "uncultured actinobacterium partial 16S ribosomal RNA". It matches the Rfam family "Bacterial small subunit ribosomal RNA", at positions 29 to 276 of the family's 1533-position model. Lineage: Bacteria; Bacillati; Actinomycetota; Actinomycetes. The record is from RNAcentral.
AGCGAACGCUGGCGGCGUACUUAACACAUGCAAGUCGAGCGGUAAGGCCCUUUCGGGGGUACACGAGCGGCGAACGGGUGAGUAACACGUGGGUGACCUGCCCUCAGCUCUGGGAUAAGCCUGGGAAACUGGGUCUAAUACUGGAUAUGACUCCAUGACGCAUGUUGUGGGGUGGAAAGCCUUGUGCGGCUGAGGAUGGGCCCGCGGCCUAUCAGCUUGUUGGUGGGGUGAUGGCCUACCAAGGCGA